Gossypium raimondii (Peruvian cotton) is the source of this 481-nucleotide long non-coding RNA. RefSeq lists it as uncharacterized. NCBI's taxonomy places the organism in Eukaryota, Viridiplantae, Streptophyta, Magnoliopsida, Malvales, Malvaceae. The record is from RefSeq and is a predicted model, not a curated record. The transcript is spliced from 2 exons.
UUGACGCGGUUUUAUCCCAAACUUUUCCCCCUGAAACCCCUAAAAUUUCCCCCUAAAAUCGGUAUCCUCAAAACACCUAAUUCUUACUGAGCAAGCCAAAAUGGGAGUUCACGGUCUAUGGGAACUGCUAGAUCCCGUCGGCAGCCGCGUGUCCGUCGAAACCCUAGCCGGAAAGAAACUCGCCAUCGGUGAACUCUGAAGUGGGCCUAUUCUCGUUGAGGAACAAUCGUUGCCCCUUCUCCUUCUUCAUAGAGGGUUUAAUAGAGGGUUUUUUUUCCCUUUUAUCAAUCUAUUUUUCAUAUUCUGUUGCAGAAAAACAAAAAGCCUUGUUUGUUAAACAGAGAAUAAAAAGUGAGAGAGACGAAGUUUGGUUAGUCCCACAUCACAAAUUUCUCAAACAAAGCUAUAAUGGGACAAUCUACCAUCUGGUGAAGUCACCCCCCUAUUGGCUCACCAUUCAGCAUGUACCGACCUCCGGCAA